RNAcentral lists this ribosomal RNA (1343 nucleotides) under uncultured bacterium. RNAcentral describes it as "16S ribosomal RNA". It matches the Rfam family "Bacterial small subunit ribosomal RNA", at positions 28 to 1378 of the family's 1533-position model. The record is from RNAcentral.
GACGAACGCUGGCGGCGUGCUUAACACAUGCAAGUCGAACGGAAAGGCCCUGCUUUUGUGGGGUGCUCGAGUGGCGAACGGGUGAGUAACACGUGAGUAACCUGCCCUUGACUUUGGGAUAACUUCAGGAAACUGGGGCUAAUACCGGAUAGGAGCUCCUGCUGCAUGGUGGGGGUUGGAAAGUUUCGGCGGUUGGGGAUGGACUCGCGGCUUAUCAGCUUGUUGGUGGGGUAGUGGCUUACCAAGGCUUUGACGGGUAGCCGGCCUGAGAGGGUGACCGGCCACAUUGGGACUGAGAUACGGCCCAGACUCCUACGGGAGGCAGCAGUGGGGAAUAUUGCACAAUGGGCGGAAGCCUGAUGCAGCAACGCCGCGUGCGGGAUGACGGCCUUCGGGUUGUAAACCGCUUUCGCCUGUGACGAAGCGUGAGUGACGGUAAUGGGUAAAGAAGCACCGGCUAACUACGUGCCAGCAGCCGCGGUGAUACGUAGGGUGCGAGCGUUGUCCGGAUUUAUUGGGCGUAAAGGGCUCGUAGGUGGUUGAUCGCGUCGGAAGUGUAAUCUUGGGGCUUAACCCUGAGCGCGCUUUCGAUACGGGUUGACUUGAGGAAGGUAGGGGAGAAUGGAAUUCCUGGUGGAGCGGUGGAAUGCGCAGAUAUCAGGAGGAACACCAGUGGCGAAGGCGGUUCUCUGGGCCUUUCCUGACGCUGAGGAGCGAAAGCGUGGGGAGCGAACAGGCUUAGAUACCCUGGUAGUCCACGCUGUAAACGGUGGGUACUAGGUGUGGGGUCCACUCCACGGGUUCCGUGCCGUAGCUAACGCUUUAAGUACCCCGCCUGGGGAGUACGGCCGCAAGGCUAAAACUCAAAGGAAUUGACGGGGCCCCGCACAAGCGGCGGAGCAUGCGGAUUAAUUCGAUGCAACGCGUAGAACCUUACCUGGGUUUGACAUGGAUCGGGAGUGCUCAGAGAUGGGUGUGCCUCUUUUGGGGUCGGUUCACAGGUGGUGCAUGCCUGUCGUCAGCUCGUGUCGUGAGAUGUUGGGUUAAGUCCCGCAACGAGCGCAACCCUUGUUCACUGUUGCCAGCACGUUAUGGUGGGGACUCAGUGGAGACCGCCGGGGUCAACUCGGAGGAAGGUGGGGAUGACGUCAAGUCAUCAUGCCCCUUAUGUCCAGGGCUUCACGCAUGCUACAAUGGCUGGUACAGAGAGUGGCGAGCCUGUGAGGGUGAGCGAAUCUCGGAAAGCCGGUCUCAGUUCGGAUUGGGGUCUGCAACUCGACCUCAUGAAGUCGGAGUCGCUAGUAAUCGCAGAUCAGCAACGCUGCGGUGAAUACGUUCCCGGG